This 756-nucleotide ribosomal RNA is filed under the name Xanthomelon jannellei. RNAcentral describes it as "partial 16S ribosomal RNA". The record is from RNAcentral. Lineage: Eukaryota; Metazoa; Mollusca; Gastropoda; Stylommatophora; Camaenidae.
CACGAAUUAAGGCGAGCUAAUUUAUUAUAAAUAUUAGUUUACAGAAUGUUGCAUAAUUAUGUUAAAUAAUGAAUUAGGGGUGACAGGCUUUCCAAGUCUUAGUAUAACUUGAUAUUUAUGAAAUGUAUUUAGUACAUAAUACAAUUAAGGAGUGCUAAGAUUCCUUGUAUAUACAAAAAUUAAGGAAAAAAAAUGAAUUUAAUCUUGUUAUAACUAACGGAUAUUAUAUAUUAAUAAAUAUUAAUCUUAAUAAUUUGUAUUAUAUAAUAAAUUAUUUAAAACCAACCACGAAAUAUAUAUUGUUACUAUAAGUAAAUCUUAAAAUAUUUAAAAUGAACUCGGCAAUAUUCUCUUCAACUGUUUAUCAAAAACAUAGCUAGUAGGAUUAAAUUAUUAGUAUUUUCUGCUCAAUGAAUAUUAAAUAGCCGCAGUACCCUGACUGUGCUAAGGUAGCAUAAUCAAUUGGCUUGUAAUUUAAGUCUUGUAUGAACGAAAAAAUGCAAGAGAAGCUAUAUGGUAAAUAUAUAUUGAAAUUACUUAGUAAGUGAAAAUACUUACUUAAAAAUAUAAGACGAGAAGACCCUAGAAAUUUUAAGAAUAAAAGACAAAAGCUUUUUGUUGGGGCAACAUUGUAACAUGUAACUUACAGUAAUAUACAAGCAAUAUUUAUUGUUAGAUUAAAUUACUCUAGGGAUAACAGCGUAAUGUAAAAACGUUUGCGACCUCGAUGUUGGAUUAGGAAAUAUAAGCUUAGAA